GGGAGCUCUGCUGGUUCCCAGAGAGGUCAAGGAAGCGCAGCCUGGCCAGGCCGGUGAACGCCCCGCGGCUCAGCCAGCGGAUGCGGUUGGACUCCAGGUGCAGGUAGAGUAAAUUGGGCAGCCCCGAGAAGGUGGAGUCGCCCAGCGAGCCCAGCUCGUUGCCAUCCAGGCGCAGCUUGACCAGGCUGCUGAGGCCAGAGAAGGAGGCGGCGCUGAGGCGGCCGAUCUCGUUGGCAUUUACGUAGAGGAUGCGCAGCUUGACCAGCGCGCUGAGCGUGCCGGGGACCAGCGCAGGCAGCAGGUUGUUGCCCAGGUAGAGCUCCUCCAGCCGGCCCAGGUGCUCAAAGGCCUUGGGAUGCAGCGAGCGGAUCCGGUUGUACUGCAGGUCCAGGCGCUGGAGCCCGGCCAGGCGGUGGAAGUCGAAGGCGGAGAUGUUGGCGAUGAAGUUGCCUCCCAGGCUGUAGAUGGCAGUCAGAGGACUAAGCCACCCAUAGUACCUCAAGGAAUGACUUUUCCUUCAUCCUCCGCACCAGCCUGCUCGGGCGGUUCCCGGCACAGCGGUCAGUGAAGAUGUAGCUGAGCAUCAUUAGCUCCAUGAGGCUCUUUGGAUGCUCUGUUGAAAAAAUUCCAUUUUUAAAAAAUCCAAGUGAAAGGAAGGUGUCGGAAAGCAUGCUGAAAAGCAAGUAGGCUGUGUACCCGUCCAUUCACUGCCUUGCUUUUCUUUCCUGUUGGCACUGGUUUUGUUUCCUAAGAUGCUGCCAGCAGGGUAAAUGAGUGUCUAAGGGCAGGAGGAAAUGAGUAUAUAUGCAAGCUGUUUAAAGCUGUCAAGUGCAAGAAGAGAAGGAAGAUAACACCCAAAAUACCAUGUUGGAAAUCCAAUAAAUACUUUGGAAACUGCGAAUUUAUGCCCAGCCGCAUACGUUUGAAUACAUUUCUGGAUCAUGCCUGUUCUUGCACCAGAAAGAAAACUUCAUAUAGUGGCAGCUGUGUUCUUAGUGACUGUGUCAAUGUGAGCAGAAAGCGUGGUACAGGACUUUGUGCUGAGGCCCUCUUGCCCACUGUUAUGGAGAGGCACUACGUUGAGCUAGAUCUGACUUGGACCUUCUGUCUUGUGGUUGGAGAACAAAAUGCAUGCUCCAAGUCUGCUCUGAGGAUGAAGCAAAGUAUUCUACAUGGAGACAGUCGGCAGAUUUGCUUCAAAAGCACAGUAUCAGGAAGAAGAGAUCUUGAAGAAAACUCAUGGAUCAGUCAAUGGACUAUUUCUAUGAGCAUCUUGAUUCUUAGCUCUUGUUAUAUGACUCUUUAUAUGAGGCUUUAUAAAGGGGAAUCAUUUUGUAGUGGUAACUGUGCUGUGCUGCUGUGGGAAGUAUGUUUAGGACAGGAGAGUGACAUUUUAGAUAACCUGGACAAAUUUUGCAAAUAUCUUCUAAAAAUCAAGUGAGCAGCUAUGAAUUAUUACUUGCUCUUUGGGAAAACCCAGUGUGAAUAACAGUGUACUGGAAUAUGGUCAUGUCAAGGUGGGUUGUCUAAAGGGAGUUUGAAUUUAAAGCUAGAGAAGUGUUGUGGGUUUUUGUUUGUUUGUUUGGUUGUUGUUGUUGUUGUUGUUUUGAGAAAAUACAAUUACAGUAGGCAGUCUUGAUAGUCUAGAAGAGUAAGUGAAAAAUAACCUAACUAUACGCCAAAGUGUACUCAGAGGGAAAGAUGUCAUGGCAUAUUGCCAUCAAAAACGAAAGAUUUCUAAUUAAAAAUGGUGGUGAUCAGAGUUGUCAGAUUCCAAAUCCUUUUGACUUCUGAAGAUUUUUCUGCUAUCUUGUCAUCAAACGAGCAUGUUCUUAGAUUAACUUUUAUUUAGAAUUGUGCAGUAAAUUGUAGCUGCAUUGUUUUCUGGGGAUAAGCAGAAGUUUAUUUGUUGAGUUUCUGGCUCGACUGUACAUACUUUAUUUUGAGCAGUACAAUUAGUAAGGCAUUCUUUUUCCUACAGUGAGUCUAAGCAAGUUUCACACGAUGAAUUUUUUGCUGUCCUUUCUUCUUUUUUUUCUGUGUUACAAAAGGAUCUCUUCCAGCAUUUGUUUGUGAUUCUAAUGCCCAUGGAUAAGAAUCCAGAGAUUUUAGCUCAUCCUCUUACUUACUGAAUAUGUAUUCUCUUGCCAGGUUUUUUCUUUUCAGUGUCUAUCGCAUCACGUCUAAUAUUAAGGACAAAGUAGAGUGUUCUCCUUGCUACAAAAACUGUGUUUCUUUUCUCACUCUCAAAACUACUAUAGUACUGGAGAGGACACUCUGUCUAAUUUUUGUUUAAUUGCAAGUAACGAAUUUUUCCUCCAACAAAUUUGGUUAACUGUGGUGUGCUUUAAAAAGUGAAAUUUGAGGAAACCAUUCUGUAUAAUGGUAUGCUUAUUUUCAAUUCCUUUGGGUUUCUUUUUUUUUUUUUUUUUUUUUUUUUUUUGAAACAUACUUGAAAGUUUAAGGGCAAUUUAUGAACUGUCCUUCCUGUAGAAGCACUGUAGAUCUUUUUCUGUCCGCAUGUCAUUGCAAGUACUUCAGAUUUAAGUCAAAUUAUGUCUUGUGCAGUGGCAUUGCUUUCGGUUUAUGUAUUCUGACACUUAGCCAACAUUGUUGUUUUCACUGGGUUUUGGGGAAUUGUGCGUGUUGGAAUUUUUGUUGAAAAAUCACUAGUGAUGCUUAGGAAAUUAUUAUUCACCAUACAUUAGGAACACAGCUGCUCAGAAAAAAAAAAAAAUGCCACAUUUGUUUUCCUACUUUGGAACGGAACUUUCUAACUGCAGUAGUUCUUGUUUCCUUAUACAAACACACAGUAACAUUUUAAACGUGUGAUUGAGAAAUAGUAAUCAUUUACCACAAAGUGAAAAAAUAAUCUGACUAUGAAAAACGGUUGGAAGAGAACUACGAAAGUAGUAUCUUUUUAAGUUUAUCUUAAAGUACACCUUUGUUAUUAAGAUUUAAAGCAUGAGGACUUUUAAAAGGCAGGAAUGAAUAGCAAAACCAGAAAUGCUAUCUUUCCUCUGAUAUAUAUCUAUACCCCUGAUAAUUGUGAGAAAACUGACCUUAAAUCAGGAUUUCAUUCACAACUAAAUAGUAUCCAUAUGGUUGUUAUACGGAAGACUUUGGACUUUUUUUUGUUGUUUUUUUGAUUUUUGAGAGAUGUUAUCUAGGCACUGAUUAGAGGGCUGGUGGUUAAACAUGUUGUACACAUAGUUGUGGGCAGAAUGCAAAAUGGAGUGAAAGAAGCAGCAUGCUUAGUGUGGCCUAUCCCAGCAUAUAGUCGGAAUGUGGCAAUACCCAUUAAAGAAGGAAGAAUUACUCUUUCUUGAUUCUGGAAUAGAAGAAUACUUGGUGCCAAACUGGUAAGUUUAAGGCUGAUACCUCAUAACUUUAUGUAGUUAUUGGGCAUGAUAAUGAGAGCUUUAUCUCUCAGAAGAGCAAUUUUCCAUUGGUCUGUGCAGUUCCACUGCCCACUAAACAUCAAGGGUGUUCUCAUUUGAAUUUAUACAAAACGUUUCUAGAAGUGUUAGCUUUAACCUUUGUUUCUUACUGAGCCGAGUGGCUUAACAACACAAUUAAACAAUUUGACUUUAGCAUCAGAAUUCUCAUAUAAAACAAGACAGAAAGCUUCUGUAAAUUGGUAUGUGGGAUGCACAUGUUUUGUUGGUUACAAUAAAAAACCUUAACUUGUGGUUAUUUGACUUCCAGUGUCACUGGAGACUGUGGUAUACAUCCUAACUCAGUUGACAUAAAUACAUAGCUUGUGAAUUUUCAGAUGAAAUGUAUAGAGUUGCAAUCAAAAUUUUGAUAAUGUAUCUUUGCCAUAAGCCCAACCUUAAAAGAUAGAAAUACCCUUCACUUCACAACCACACUUUAUUCAUGUCAUGGCUUUUUGGCAGUACACGCAUUUGUGAACAGAACAGCAGUUUUCAAGGAUGAAGCACAGGAAGAGUAAAAUUUAAUCAGAGAUCUCUGACGAACACCUUGGGAGCUCACAAAGAAUGGCAACCACUGCUAUCAAACCGGCCCAAUGCGUUGGUUCCACAGAAGCAAGAUCACAUAUCCCACUAGUUUUAUGGUUUUGUUGCUUUUUUUCUUUGUAUAUUUUAAUUAAGGAAAUAAAAUGUUUUGUUACUUAUAUACAUAGAUUAUAUAUUUUAUGAUGGCUGCUCUGAAAGUAAUGCCUCCUAUUUUAUGAUGUUGUCCAGUGACAUCAGAGGUGGAUUUUGGUGUAUGGCGUCACAGAUUGAACCUUCCCACCAAUAUUCCAUUAUAUGUUGUUGCCAUGUGACAAAUGGCAGCAGAGGGGCAGUCUGGCAAAAUAGCAUGUGGUAUGGAAACACAGAUGAAGCAAAGGUGUGGAAUGGAAUUCCUUCAUUUGAAAAAAAAUUGCACCCGCUGACAUUCACUGGUGCUUGCUGAAUGUUUCUGGAGACCAAACAGUGGAUGUGAGCACAGUAGAGCAGUGGUGGUGCGUUUCAGCAGUGGUGACAGUGAUAGCAGGUCACCUCUGCUGGUACAGAUUGUUUUGAAUGUGGUAUGCAGGCUCUUGUUCAUCCCCAGGGAAAAUGCACAGCUAAUGGUGGAGACUAUAUUGAAAAAAACAGUGUUCUGUAGCUAAGAAUUUGAUCUAUUAAAUAGUGUUAUUGUGUUCUUUGUUUCUAUUGUAGUUUCCAUGGAAAUAAUUAGAAGGUAUUCAGAGCAACCUUUGUGGAUAUGGCCCUAGAAAAUUCAUUUUCACUCAAUGCAGCCCAGGCAAGCCAAAACGUUGGACACCUAUGGAUUAAAGCAUUUUUUAAGUGGUCACCAUUUUGGUGCUAUUCUGUAUGUCAGUGCCAGUAAUGCAAAUACCAUAGUGUAGGAAAACAUGAGAAUUCUAGUGAUAAAUGUGGUAAUAUUUUUUUCCCUUAAAACUGCACAAACAGUUCAUCUGUGCUGUGUAAUUUAUACUGGUUGCACUUACAGUUGUAUUUCACAUUUUAAAUAAAACUUCCUGAUAUGGUGGUUUGUGUUCGUUCAUAACGAAAUGUCAUUUGUGACAUCCAGUUCUUCAGAAAUAAAGCAUGACUCCCAGAGCAAUAGUUAAUACUAUAUACUUGUUCUGCUCCAUGGAAGGAAAGCCACCAGAUGUUUAAUAGAUAUCUGCUCUCAUUAUCCAUAGAGGCCUGUGGGCUAUAAGGCUCUGCUGAUUGCAAAUACCAUUAAAUCUUUUCCGAACUAAACAUCUGAGUAAAGUAUUUGUGUUUUAUGACAAGAUGGUAGACUAGAUGUGCUUUUAGCAUCAAGGGCAUGUUUAGUCAAACAACCAUAACCCAGUGAGAAUUUCACACAGUGUAG
RNAcentral lists this long non-coding RNA (5337 nucleotides) under Gallus gallus (chicken). Lineage: Eukaryota; Metazoa; Chordata; Aves; Galliformes; Phasianidae. The record is from RNAcentral.